Molecule: ribosomal RNA, 403 nt
Filed under: uncultured bacterium
Lineage: Bacteria
Description: partial 16S ribosomal RNA
Rfam family: Bacterial small subunit ribosomal RNA
Source: RNAcentral
AUUGAACGCUGGCGGCAGGCCUAACACAUGCAAGUCGAGCGAGCGGCGGACGGGUGAGUAAUGUAUGGGGACUGCCCGAUAGAGGGGGAGAACUCCUGUAAACGGUAGCUAAUACCGCAUACUAUCGGAUAACCCAUAUGGGAUUAGCUAGUAGGUGGGGUAAUGGCUCACCUAGGCGACGAUCCCUAGCUGGUCUGAGAGGAUGAGCAGCCACACUGGGACUGAGACACGGCCCAGACUCCUACGGAGGCAGCAGUGGGGAAUAUUGCACAAUGGGCGCAAGCCUGAUGCAGCCAUGCCGCGUGUAUGAAGAAGGCCCUAGGGUUGUAAAGUACUUUCAGUCGGGAGGCGUUACCCGCAGAAGAAGCACCGGCUAACUCCGUGCCAGCAGCCGCGGUAAUAC